GUGUCAGCAGCCGCGGUAAGACGAACCGUGCGAACGUUAUUCGGAAUCACUGGGCUUAAAGCGCGUGUAGGUGGGACGGCACGUCGGUCGUUGAAAUCCCCCGGCUCAACCGGGGAAGGGGCGCCGAUACGACCGUCCUGGAGGGACGUAGGGGGACCUGGAACUUCCGGUGGAGCGGUGAAAUGCGUUGAGAUCGGAAGGAACGCCCGUGGCGAAAGCGAGGUCCUGGACGUUUUCUGACACUGAGACGCGAAAGCCAGGGGAGCGAACGGGAUUAGAUACCCCGGUAGUCC
This 293-nucleotide ribosomal RNA is filed under the name uncultured bacterium. Its description in RNAcentral is "partial 16S ribosomal RNA". It matches the Rfam family "Bacterial small subunit ribosomal RNA", at positions 505 to 796 of the family's 1533-position model. The record is from RNAcentral.